UCUCCGUAGGUGAACCUGCGGAGGGAUCAUUACAGAGUUCGUGCCCUAACGGGUAGAUCUCCCACCCUGUGUUAUUAUACCUUUGUUGCUUUGGCGGGCCGCCCUCGGCUACCGGCCCCGGCUGGUACGCGCCCGCCAGAGGACCCCAAACUCUGAAUGUUAGUGUCGUCUGAGUACUAUACAAUAGUUAAAACUUUCAACAACGGAUCUCUUGGUUCUG
Molecule: unclassified non-coding RNA, 220 nt
Filed under: plant metagenome
Description: partial contains small subunit ribosomal RNA, internal transcribed spacer 1, and 5.8S ribosomal RNA
Source: RNAcentral